GGACGAACGCUGGCGGCGUGCCUAACACAUGCAAGUCGAGCGAGGAGAUCCUCGGGAUGAUCCUAGCGGCGGACGGGUGAGUAACACGUGGGCAACCUGCCUCAUAGAGAGGAAUAGCCUUCCGAAAGGGAGAUUAAUACCUCAUAACAUUGCAGUUUCGCAUGGAACAGCAAUUAAAGGAGUAAUCCGCUAUGAGAUGGGCCCGCGGCGCAUUAGCUAGUUGGUGAGGUAAUGGCUCACCAAGGCGACGAUGCGUAGCCGACCUGAGAGGGUGAUCGGCCACAUUGGGACUGAGACACGGCCCAGACUCCUACGGGAGGCAGCAGUGGGGAAUAUUGCACAAUGGGGGAAACCCUGAUGCAAGCAACGCCGCGUGAGUGAUGACGGCCUUCGGGUUGUAAAGCUCUGUCUUCAGGGACGAUAAUGACGGUACCUGAGGAGGAAGCCACGGCUAACUACGUGCCAGCCGCAGC
Molecule: ribosomal RNA, 473 nt
Filed under: uncultured bacterium
Lineage: Bacteria
Description: bacterial SSU rRNA
Rfam family: Bacterial small subunit ribosomal RNA
Source: RNAcentral